RNAcentral lists this transfer RNA (72 nucleotides) under Candidatus Margulisiibacteriota bacterium. Its description in RNAcentral is "Candidatus Margulisbacteria bacterium (hot springs metagenome) tRNA-Met". It matches the Rfam family "tRNA". From Rfam's summary of the family: Transfer RNA (tRNA) molecules are approximately 80 nucleotides in length. Their secondary structure includes four short double-helical elements and three loops (D, anti-codon, and T loops). Lineage: Bacteria; Bacillati; Candidatus Margulisiibacteriota. The record is from RNAcentral.
GCCAGGGUAGCUCAAUGGUAGAGCAGAGGACUCAUAAGCCUUUGGUUGUCGGUUCAAGUCCGGCCCCUGGCA